Molecule: ribosomal RNA, 206 nt
Filed under: Nectriaceae sp.
Lineage: Eukaryota; Fungi; Ascomycota; Sordariomycetes; Hypocreales; Nectriaceae
Description: partial large subunit ribosomal RNA
Source: RNAcentral
AAGCGCUUGUGACCAGACUUGGGCUUGGUUGAUCAUCCUGGGUUCUCCCUGGUGCACUCUUCCAGUCCAGGCCAGCAUCAGUUUGCUUCGGGGGAUAAAAACUUUAGGAAUGUGGCUCUUCGGAGUGUUAUAGCCUAUUGUAUAAUACCCUUAUGGGGACCGAGGUACGCGCUCUGCAAGGAUGCUGGCGUAAUGGUCAUCAACGA